Molecule: long non-coding RNA, 7226 nt
Organism: Cygnus atratus (black swan)
Lineage: Eukaryota; Metazoa; Chordata; Aves; Anseriformes; Anatidae
Exons: 4
Source: RefSeq, a predicted model, not a curated record
AGGAAUGGGAGUGCCAAAAUACCGCGAGAGUGUCUGUUGUUGCAGUACGUCUGGCUGAACCAGAAGCAGGAAAUUCUUGUGAGAGCCUGUCUCAUGAGAUUGCCAGCCAGCUCCGAGGCUGGCCCUGUUGCUAGCUAUUAGUGCAAAAUGGUGAGGUGGGAAUGUAGCUGAGAAGGAAAUAGCUGAAGAUGGGCAAAAUGGCUAAUUAGAAAUGAUGGCAGUGUGUAUGGGGGGAGGCAAUGGUUUUCUUUGUUUUGAAUGUAAAAGCAAUGAAUAAAUGAAGCAAACUUGUGUCAUGUCCCUUGCUCCAGUGGAGGAGGACAUGGGGAAGCUCUCUUUGCAGUUUGAGAGCUCCUCCGCUGGAGCUGGUCUGGCACUGCUCUUCCUUGGGGCCUCCGUCUGGUUCAAAGGGGGCCAAACCCAGCACUUCGGUUCACAACACUUUUCGAACUUGUAGGUCAGGAAUUUUUCCUUAACCUGGGCUAGACUCUGCUCUAAAACUUUCCGCACUGUCGUGUGCGGAGCUGCCUGGGCGGAAGCUGAGAUGCCGGCACCGGAGGGAGGGAGCCGAGCUUUAACCUCCGUCCAGCAGACUUAUUCCACCUUGGCUCCGUUUCAAGACAAUUUUAAAAGCUGUAUCCAGCCUAUGCUGCCGUUUUUGGCAUUAUUGCUCCUGGUGGAGCUGUAAUGGUGGGGAACUUUAAAGGAAAAGGACAUAAUGGAAACUGAUUAGAAAAGUGGGGAAAGUCUUGGGGUGCAAUAAAGCCUUGCCCAAAGAAGGGAAGGGGACAAGGGGAGGCCUUAAAAGGCAUGCAUUCGAUCACAGCAGGGCAGGAAAUAGCUUUAGGAGAGUUUUUCUUUGGUCCAUUCAUAACCUGGUUUGUACCUCAUUAACUUUCUGUUAGUGCAUUUUUUCUUCUAAGAUCCAGGGUAGUUUAUUCCCACUGAAGUCAAUGUGAGGAGUCAUUCAGUGCCAAGUGCAAUCUCUCCUGCAGAUUAAACAAGAGAAGCUCCCAGCAUUGCUUUCAUCCGAAAGAGAUGAGAAGCGUGUUGAGGAUGUGCUGAUGCUGCAUGCUUUAUUUACUCCAUCUCCGUGGAGCUACAGUAAGCUUCCUGGAGGUGCUUUUCUAAGGCUCUUGCACCUUUUUUCUGUAAUACAUUGAAUGUGCAAGUGACAACCCCUGUGAAACCAGUUGCAAAGUUGCUACUGGCUCCAUUAAGCCUGUUAGGCUGCUAGAAACUACUGGUAUGAAGGAAUCUCUAUAAAAGCUGCAUGGAUUAAAAAGAUGCCCGUUUAAGAUUCUGAAGAUUUUCUUCUGUUUCAGAUAUUCCCUGCUUACCUCAAAUUCAUUUUGCGAACUGUUGUUCUGCAGCGCUAAAAUUAGAUUCCAGGUAGUUUAAACUGUUCUGUUAUAUCCCUUAGGAAAGACAGCUGGGGUUUUGUCUUGCUGAUGAAGCCUGAUUUGAAUGACUACUCAUCAAGUCCAUUUAAAGAUUCAUUAUGUUCUAUAUAGUCCAACAGUAAAAAUACAGAAGUAUCCCAUGGGCAGCCAACUGCUGAAAGGGAGGAAUUAGUUACAGGAGAUAGGGUAAGAUGAUGUGGGAUUAAAAUGCAGCAAGCAAGAUUCUGGUUUGAUACUGGUGAAAAAUGAGAGGGAUGGUAAGGGAUUAGAAUAGGCUGUGUGGGAGUCUGGGGCUUCCAGCCCUGGAUGGCAGGGGAGGUGAGCAUCUGGGCUGAGCUCGUCCUGCCUGCACCUCUUCCUGUGCUCUGCAGCCCUCUCCUUCGAAGAAGGCUUGCCAUAGACAGCACAACAGAUAGAGGAUGGGCUCUUGCAACCUUCUGGGUGGUCAGCAGUGCAGUGGCUCUGUGUCCCUAGUGAGCAAACAGCAACCCAGAAGAUGGGAAAUCCAUGAAACAGCACACUAGGUCUGAGGUGGUGGUGCUGGUCUUACCCCAGCUGCCAUGGGGUGCCCAGGUCCUGUGGAGUGACGGUAGGCACCGAGCCAGGAGGACGGGUACCGGCUAGUCCAGGGCUAUGGGCAGGUCCCUGAAACUCAGGGAGAAUUAAAACUAGGCAGCUGUAGUUGGGAAGGUGCUGAAUGUUGUCCAGAUUGGACAUAUCUACCAGGUUAUAUUAAGGACCACUCGCUUAGCUUUUAUGGAGUGCGAAGUCACCGUGAAAUACGCUGAAAAAUUAAGAUGCCUUAUGUACUUAGUUUGGCUUUGUAACACAACUGUGUUAAGCUGUUUCUCCAGUAGACAUUCAGCAGCAAACACUUCCAAAGAGCUGCUGCAAAACACUACUGCUGGGGUCCUUGGGGACGGUCAGCUCUGGGCUGGAGGAGAAACGCAUCGUGCAAUUCCCCAGGUGGCACAGGAGUGCCCCAGGAGCAUCCACGCAGACAGAGUUGUAGCUCCAACUUCUGUUUCCUCAUCGAGUCCUGUAUUCAUUUUUUAUCUUGUUUCGGUUUUUGCCUGAAAUGAGGAUGGAUUUGAUGGGUUCUACUUCUGUUUGUAUGAAUAGGGGAUCUUUUCACUAUAAAUCUGAGACAGAAAUUUGAGGCAAAUCUCAGGAGUCUGGAAAACAUUCCAGGCUAAACUUAAAGCAUUUCUGUACUCUUUCUGAAGUGCUUGUUUAUCUUGUUUGCUCUGAUCAAGAGAACAUCUGAAAUGAACAAAUAAGCUGCCUGAACAUCUGGCAUCUCAGGUCAGAGUUGCAAGGAGCCUGCUGAAAGUUGCUGCUUGUUUUUUCAGGUCUGAGUUCUUCCUGUCUAAGUUCAGUUUUUGCUUAAUCAGGUAGGAUUUUCUGUAGCCAGAGCAAUUAAGUGGUGGGCACGGGUCCUUCUCCAGCAUUUCCCUUCUCAGGGCUGAGGUGUGCUCUGAGCAGUCCUGGCUCUCGUCCUGCUGUGGCUGUGGCUGUGGUGGUGCCUGGCCCCUUUCGGGCAGGGCUGUGCCGUCUGCCCGUGGUGGGCAGCGAAACCCUGUGCUGCAGAGGUGAAGGGAGGAAUCGUGAACUCCUGCAAGAGCGCUUGAAAGCCGUUGUUCAAGUGUUUGGUGAUUCCACUCGAGGUUUCAGUUGCAAGCAAGAACAGAUGUGUAAUGUAUUCAGCCUGAGACUCCAGGGGUGGCUGUCAGAGCUCCUUUGUUGAGCGCUCCCACGCGUUGGGGUAUACCCACACGUGAGACUUGUUAGGCUGAUUUGUCAUUUAACAAUUAGCAUUUAACCCCAGCGGGUGGCUAGGUGCUGCAGGCAGCGGCUCCUGGCACCGCGUGCCGCUGCUUGUGCCUGGAUGCGUUUACAAAUGUAAAUACUGCAGGGCCUGGUUCUGCUGUCCUGUCAUGUUAGCAGUGUUCCUUAGAAAUCCUCCCGUGGAGGGGCAAUACGUGCUCCGCUAGGUUUGAGUUCCCUUUGCAGGAAAGCUCACCGCACCAGCGUUCAUCCAUGUAAAUCCUCUGUGCCAUACAACGGAAUAAAACGUUUUGGGUUUAGCUUUGCUUCCUGGUGGAUCCCAAGGUGCAGAGCAGCUGUUGUACCUGCCUUCUCUGGCAGAGCUGGAGGGUGUGCCCAGCUUCCAAGGGGGCGUUAGGAUCAUGGAACGUCUGCUGCUGUUGCUCGAGAUUCCUGUUCCAGGAAAUACAGAAAGUGAGGGAAUUUCAUUUAGAUUGCAAGGGUUGUAUUUCAACCGAAGAUGUGAAUUUUUACUAAGAAUAUCACAUACAUGUACAGAUGUGUGUGUGCCCUUAAUAUGGAACUAUAUCAUAAGUUGCGUACUCCUUUUAUAAAGGUUACUAGUUCAUUGGGAAUGAUGCUGCAGUUUUUUAUUACUGCAGGGAACAGCUCUUACGUGGUAAUGCCUGCUGAGGGUUGGUUGAGUUCAUCCCCGAGAAACAUUUCCAGUCUCAAUCUAACCAGCUUUUAAACCUGGCCCCCCAGAGGCAGAAAGCAGAGCUAAAUCAUGACAUUAGCAAACGCUCUGAAACAGCAUGGUGUGUUUGCUGCCCACCUUUCUCUUUCAUCCUUCUCCCUGACUCUGUUCCAGGACAUCUUGUGGAAAAAGGAAAAGCAGUUUCCUUCAGAACUGGCUGUUUUUCUUCUUCCUGUAGACCUCCCCCCCUCAAGUUAAAUGGGCAAACAUAGCAUGCAGUAUUUCUGCUGCAGAGUUAAAUAUUGAUGAAGAUUAAGAUGCAUUAAAUGACUGAGGAAAUUCAUGGGACAGGAAGAAAAACAAACAAAACCCAGAAAAUUAAAAAACGUUCAAGUGUAUGAAUAGCUCUUUCUCUCUCCAACUUCUGCGUGACUUCCAAUGAAACGUUUCAGCAUCUUGAUGCGAAUGUUCCAGCUUCCCGGAGCCGGGGACAAGGAAGUGCUGUACGGCAACAGCUAUGGGGGGGAAAAUGUUCUGUGCUGUGUUGCUCUUGGACUUCCUCGGAGUAUUUUUGUUCCAGAUGUUAAACUGUUAUUUUUUCAGAAGCCUUGCAGAAUUGCCAGAACGCUGGAUUUUUUUUUGAAGGAUUUUCCGAACCCCAGCUGAUUAUCACAACACACAAGAAUCCAAACUCGGUCUUGGCUUCGCGGUGCUCCAGCAGCUGCAGAAAAUCUGGGGGAAGGCGCAGGUUCACGGCGCUGUCACCGGCUGCCCUUGUACGGUCACAGCGGGAGCGCGCAGCCCUGCUCCCCUGCCUCCUGCGAUGUGGGAUUCGUGUCAGGCUGUGAGCCACGUGCCCCCUUCCAGAGCACCCCAGGCAGGGGCACUGCAGCAACGUGCUCCGAGGCUGCAGCGGGGCAGCUCAGGGUGGAAAAAUUACUUCCAUCUGCCUUCGUUCCAGCAAAGGGUAGCUUGCUCUGAGGCAAAAUCAGCCCCUAGCAUGUUUUGUUUCUAGAUGUAAUGAUAUUUUUUUAGCCCGUGGUACAUGGUGAUGCUGGCGGUGCAGGCAGAUCGAGCACUGCUGCUCCCCACCAGAGUGCCAGUGCCCCGGCUCUUCUGCGGCCCUGCUGCUCGCGUUCUUCUGAGCCCUUUGAUGUAAUCCUUGUGGAAGCAGAUGGAAAAAACUUCUGGGCUCUGGUUUGUCUAUUGAGUGCUGUCCUACUGACUUUCAGUGAGACGUUCUCUCUACAAAAGAAAUAACUGUAGAAGCACCUUCUGUUUUGUACCUGCUCCUCUCUUUAUCUGCCUGAUUUUUGUCCUUGUACGCUUACAGGAACUCUCAGCUAUGGCACUUUUGCACUUAAUGCAUCUCCCCAACACUUGCUGCACCUCCCCUGCUGCCUUUGCUGUGCUCUGAAGGCUGACAGCCCUGUACAGGCAGAAGCCUGCAGCCACCCUAGUGUUAAGGCAGCAGGGAGCUCUGUGCUCAAAUUCCUUCCCCUGACCACAGCCUCCUCCUAGAGGCGAAGUCUGCCAGCCGGCCUGGGUGCUCUGCUCUCCUCUGCCAAAGAAAGCUGCGUAUUUUGCCAAGCUCAUCUGCUUUACCUGGAAGAGGGCGGCUGCUGCUGGCAGAGCGAGAGCCGUGGGCAGCUGAGGCAGACGGAAACUCUUCUAAAGCAAGAGAUGAAGUGUGGAGUAAAACCGGUCAGUGAAGGCAGAAGUUUGGCUGCAGAAAUACAAAGAGCCUCCUCUUCGCAGGAGCAAUCCUCCCGAGGAAUUGAGCUGGAUCCUUGACCAUGCUUUGUGAGUGGUAAAGCAAAUGCAGCAGUGCCUCGAGACAGCCAUUGGCACCCCUGUGCCACCUCCUGCUGCUCCGGUGGGGCUGGCGGGUUGCACGGGUCUCUGAAUAUGCGAGGCAAUGCUGGGUCUGCAGCAGCAGGCAUGAGGAACAACAGGAACGGAAAUAGCAGCUCCCUGUUCACACACUGAUGGAUUUUAGCGGUUCUCUUUGAAAGCUGUCUCCUGGGUAACGUGGCUUUACAGAAGACUUUGUCCGUCUACCUUUCUUCAGUUCUUUCCUGGGAAAAAAAGCAAGAGGUGGUUAUGCAUUCAAAAUCAAAGCUAGCUCCGUGACUUAGUCUUUAAUUCAUUGUAAAAUCCCACCAAUAUGCAUUAAGACUUCAUGCUUCAGAAAAACUGGGAUCGGUUGCUUUGGGAGAACAAAACACAAGGAGGAUAGAGGGCUCUGUACGAACCAGUUUCCUGCAUCCCUAUUUUUAACUUUUCACUUGAGGAUAAUGAUCGCUUGUCCCUCAUCGGCUAGAGAUGGCACCUUGUGUUCUCUCUGCGCAGGAGCUGCACUGAGAAGUGACACAGUCCUUCCUCAUUUGGGAACGCUUUCACGAAGGCUCAAGGAUGGAGCCAAGCUCUUGAUUCCCUUUUGCAAUAGGGAGAUACAGACUCAAGUAACUUGCAUGGACUUUACCGCCUAUUAACCCCGUCGCUGAGUGAUGCAGGUCAUGUGUCUUUGGUGGCGAGCACUUACACUGAACGUGCUGUAUUGGAGAGCCUGCUGGGGACUGCAGCGUUGCUUUGAAGAUGUCAGUGUGGUGGGGGUGAUGCAAGUCUGCACUCUCCCCGUGCAUGAAACUCAACUAUAUGCAAAAGCAGAAGGGCUGGUCAUUUUUGGUUUUGUUUUUCCAGAAUCCUGUAUUUACAAAUCCUCUUUUCCCAAUAGUCUUUUUGAUAAUGCCAAGUCUUCCCUCUGAUCUUCUGUGUCUCAGUUUGUGCUCCUUCUUCCAUUUCUGCUUCUACUGAAUGAAGCUCCUGGUGUUGUUCACAUAAAAAACCAACAGUAACUUGAGACUUCUUUUUAUUUUAUGUAAGCUGCGGAUAUUGAAUGAGAUUCCUAGCAUAUGUCACCAGACGUGUGAACAGCACUUUCCAAUUAAAACUGUAGGAAAUUCUACUGGUUGCUUAAAAACCCCACAAAAUAGAGAACCAUAAACUUGAAUUCAUAAACACCCAUGAUGGGAAAAAGAUCCAGCUAUUUACAUGGCAGUCAUUUUAUUUAUUUAAAUUUGGUUUUGUAAGUUAAAAUGAGCACAGCCCGGGAGAAAAACAUCUUGAGCAUUUUAUGUGUAUCUGCAAGGCUUGGAACAAUCACAGAGCAAAUUAAACUGGUUUUCAGUGAUUUUGGACAACUUACAGAUGUGAUAACUUUCCUUAAUGUCUGUGCCACAGCUGCAUCAACCCCUGCAAAUUAAAUAAAGAAACAAUUCGAGGCAUCUCUGACGUAGCCUGGUGGUUAAAUUGUAAUCAGCACCUGCUAAUUAAAACGCACAUGGCUGAAAUGACAA